RNAcentral lists this ribosomal RNA (253 nucleotides) under uncultured bacterium. RNAcentral's name for it is "partial 16S ribosomal RNA". It matches the Rfam family "Bacterial small subunit ribosomal RNA", at positions 524 to 776 of the family's 1533-position model. The record is from RNAcentral. RNAcentral also lists the same sequence under 1 other name.
UACGGAGGGUGCAAGCGUUAAUCGGAAUUACUGGGCGUAAAGCGUGCGCAGGCGGUUUGUUAAGUCUGCUGUGAAAUCCCCGAGCUCAACUUGGGAAUUGCAGUGGAUACUGGCAGGCUGGAGUACGGUAGAGGAAGGUGGAAUUCCCGGUGUAGCAGUGAAAUGCGUAGAGAUCGGGAGGAACACCAGUGGCGAAGGCGGCCUUCUGGACCAGUACUGACGCUCAUGCACGAAAGCGUGGGGAGCAAACAGG